This 261-nucleotide ribosomal RNA is filed under the name uncultured bacterium. RNAcentral describes it as "partial 16S ribosomal RNA". It matches the Rfam family "Bacterial small subunit ribosomal RNA", at positions 524 to 778 of the family's 1533-position model. The record is from RNAcentral.
UACGUAGGGAGCAAGCGUUUGUCCGGAAUCAUUGGGCGUAAAGCGCGCGUAGGUGGCCACAUAAGUCCGUUUGUGAAAGUCAAAGGCUCAACCUUUUGAAAGCCGAUGGAUACUGUGUGGCUAGAGUACGGAAGAGGCGAGUGGAAUUCCUGGUGUAGCGGUGGAAUGCGCAGAUAUCAGGAGGAACACCGGUGGCGAAGGCGGCAUUCUGGACCGAUAUUGACGUGAGGAGCGAAAAGCCCAGGGGGGAGCAAAACGGGG